CUCCUACGGGAGGCAGCAGUAGGGAAUCUUCCACAAUGGACGCAAGUCUGAUGGAGCAACGCCGCGUGAGUGAAGAAGGUUUUCGGAUCGUAAAGCUCUGUUGUUGGUGAAGAAGGAUAGAGGUAGUAACUGGCCUUUAUUUGACGGUAAUCAACCAGAAAGUCACGGCUAACUACGUGCCAGCAGCCGCGGUAAUACGUA
This 201-nucleotide ribosomal RNA is filed under the name uncultured bacterium. RNAcentral describes it as "partial 16S ribosomal RNA". It matches the Rfam family "Bacterial small subunit ribosomal RNA", at positions 336 to 529 of the family's 1533-position model. The record is from RNAcentral.